RNAcentral lists this transfer RNA (38 nucleotides) under Meloidogyne incognita (southern root-knot nematode). Its description in RNAcentral is "partial tRNA-His". RNAcentral also lists the same sequence under 1 other name. Lineage: Eukaryota; Metazoa; Nematoda; Chromadorea; Rhabditida; Meloidogynidae. The record is from RNAcentral.
UUGAAUUUUUUAUUGUGAUUAAAAAAGUUUUUGGCUAA